GACGGGGGGGGCAAGUGUUCUUCGGAAUGACUGGGCGUAAAGGGCGCGUAGGCGGUUUGUACAGUCAGAUGUGAAAUUCCUGGGCUUAACCUGGGGGCUGCAUUUGAUACGUGCAGACUUGAGUGAGGAAGAGGGUUGUGGAAUUCCCAGUGUAGAGGUGAAAUUCGUAGAUAUUGGGAAGAACACCGGUGGCGAAGGCGGCAACCUGGUCCUUGACUGACGCUGAGGCGCGAAAGCGUGGGGAGCAAACAGG
Molecule: ribosomal RNA, 253 nt
Filed under: uncultured bacterium
Lineage: Bacteria
Description: partial 16S ribosomal RNA
Rfam family: Bacterial small subunit ribosomal RNA
Source: RNAcentral